Molecule: long non-coding RNA, 383 nt
Filed under: Gallus gallus (chicken)
Lineage: Eukaryota; Metazoa; Chordata; Aves; Galliformes; Phasianidae
Description: lncRNA (ENSGALG00010000464.1)
Source: RNAcentral
UGAAGAGAAAACGCGUGAUAUUUGCUUAAAUGUGGGAUUCUCGGAGAUGAAACUCGUGAUAUCCGAUUAAAAGGGGGAUUUGUGAAAAGAAAACGCAUGAUUUUCACUUAAAUGGGGGAUUUCCGAAGAGAAAACGCGUGAAUUUUGCUUAAAUGGGGGAUUUCUGAUGAGAAAACGCGUGAUAUUUGCUUAAAUGGAAGGUUUCUGAAGAGGAAACACGACAUUUUCGCUACAAUGGGGGAUUUCUGAAGAGAAAACGCGUGAUAUUUGCUUAAAUGUGGGAUUCUCAGAGAUAAAACAGUUGAUAUUCGAUGAAAUGGGGGAUUUCCGAAGAGAAAACGCACGAUUUUCGCGUAAAUAUCAGAUUUCUGAAGAGAAAACGC